AUACGAAGGGGGCUAGCGUUGUUCGGAAUUACUGGGCGUAAAGCGCACGUAGGCGGACUGAUCAGUUAGAGGUGAAAUCCCAGGGCUCAACCCUGGAACUGCCUUUAAUACUGUCAGUCUAGAGAUCGAGAGAGGUGAGUGGAAUUCCAAGUGUAGAGGUGAAAUUCGUAGAUAUUUGGAGGAACACCAGCGGCGAAGGCGGCUCACUGGCUCGAUACUGACGCUGAGGUGCGAAAGCGUGGGGAGCAAACAGAAUUAGAAACCCUAGUAGUCC
This 274-nucleotide ribosomal RNA is filed under the name uncultured bacterium. Its description in RNAcentral is "partial 16S ribosomal RNA". It matches the Rfam family "Bacterial small subunit ribosomal RNA", at positions 523 to 796 of the family's 1533-position model. The record is from RNAcentral.